UUGCAAUUCUAAUACCCGGUAAUGAAACUGUGGGAGUAGCUCAGAGAAUGCUGCUCUGAACGGUUAUUGCCAUUUUGUUUCUGUGUAUCGAACCAACAUUAGCAACAUUGAGGACUGUGCAAACUUUGUGGGUGAGACAGAUCUAUCUGCCUCCCUGCUAUUACGAGAAUUACACCUUUAACUCUCAUAACUUGAACACAGGGCACAGCAUAGAGGGUGUUACUGUAAGAAAACAUCAAGGGGAAUGUGAUUUAUGAAUAAUCUACAAUGCUUCUGUGGACUCUCUUCAUCUGUCUCACUGAAGUGUUUUUACUCUAAUCUUACUUGUAU
This is a non-coding RNA of Pelobates cultripes (western spadefoot toad), 330 nucleotides long. The record is from the annotation of a GenBank genome assembly. Lineage: Eukaryota; Metazoa; Chordata; Amphibia; Anura; Pelobatidae.